This 2238-nucleotide long non-coding RNA is filed under the name Callithrix jacchus (white-tufted-ear marmoset). Its description in RNAcentral is "lncRNA (ENSCJAG00000076188.1)". The record is from RNAcentral. Lineage: Eukaryota; Metazoa; Chordata; Mammalia; Primates; Cebidae.
CUCUCCUCAUAUGGGCACUUAUUGCUAUAUACUUUCCUCUAGAGACUGCUUUAAAUGUGUCCCAGAGGUUCUGGCACGUUGUGUCUUCGUUCUCAUUGGUUUUGAAGAACUUCUUUAUUUCUGUCUUUAUUUCAUUGUUUACCCAGUCAACAUUCAAGAGCCAGUUGUUCAGUUUCCAUGAAGCUGUGUGGUUCUGGGUUGGUUUCUGUAUUCUGAGUUCUAACUUGAUUGCACUAUGGUCUGAGAGGCUGUUUGUUAUGAUUUCAGUUGUUUUGCAUUUGUUGAGCAGUGCUUUACUUCCAAUUAUGUGGUCAAUUUUAGAGUAGGUGUGAUGUGGUGCUGAGAAGAAUGUAUAUUCUGUGGAUUUGGGGUGGAGAGUUCUGUAAAUGUCUAUCAGGUUUGCUUGCUCCAGGUCUGAGUUCAAGCCCUGGAUAUCCUUGUUGAUUUUCUGUCUGGUUGAUCUGUCUAUUAUUGACAGUGGAGUGUUAAAGUCUCCCACUAUUAUUGUGUGGGAGUCUAAGUCUCUUUGUAAGUCAUUAAGAACUUACCUUAUGUAUCUGGGUGCUCCUGUAUUGGGUCCAUAUAUGUUUAGGAUCUUUAGCUCUUCUUGUUGUAUCGAUCCAUUUACCAUUAUGUAAUGGCCUUCCUUGUCUCUUUUGAUCUUUGUUGCUUUAAAGUCUAUUUUAUCAGAGAUGAGAAUUGCAACUCCUGCUUUUUUUUGCUUUCCAUUUGCUUGGUCAAUCUUCCUCCAUCCCUUUAUUUUGAGCCUUUGUGUAUCCUUGCAUGUGAGAUGGGUUUCCUGAAUACAGCACACUGAUGGGUUUCGUUUUUUUAUCCAAUUUGCCAGUCUGUGUCUUUUGAUUGGUGCAUUUAGUCCAUUUACAUUUGGGGUUAAUAUUGUUACGUGUGAAUUUGAUACUGCCAUUUUGAUGCUAGCUGGCUGUUUUGCCCAUUAGUUCUUGUAGAUUCUUCAUUAUGUUGAUGCUCUUUAGGAUUUAGUGUGAUUUUGGAAUGGCUGGUACUGGUUGUUCUUUUCUAUGUGUAGUGCCUCUUUCAGGAGCUCUCAUAAAGAAGGCCUGGUGGUGACAAAAUCUCUGAGUACUUGCUUGUUCGCAAAGGAUUUUAUUUGUCCUUCACUUACGAAGUUCAGUUUGGCUGGAUAUGAAAUUCUGGGUUGAAAGUUCUUUUCUUUAAGGAUGUUGAAUAUUGGACCCCACUCUCUUCUGGCUUGUAGAGUUUCUGCUGAGAGAUCUGCUGUGAGUCUGAUGGCCUUCCCUUUGUGGGUGACCCGACCUUUCUCUCUGGCUGCCCUUAGUAUUUUCUCCUUUAUUUCAACCCUGGUGAAUCUGACGAUUAUGUGCCUUGGGGUUACUCUUCUUGUGGAAUAUCUUUAUGGUCUUUUCUGCAUUUCCUGCAUUUGAGUGAUGGCCUGCCUUGCUGGGUUGGGGAAAUUUUCCUGGAUAAUAUCCUGAAGAGUAUUUUCCAGCUUGGAUUCAUUCUCUUCAUCUCAUUCUGGUACACCUAUCAUACGUAGGUUAGGUCUCUUCACAUAGUCCCACAUUUCUUGGAGACUUUGUUCAUUCCUUUUUGCCCUUUUUUCUCUAAUCUUGGUUUCUAAUUUUAUUUCAUUGAGUUUAUCUUCGACUUCUGAUAUUCUUUCUUCUGCUUGGUCAAUUCAGCUGUUGAAACUUGUGCAUGCUACACGAAGUUCUCGUAUUGUGUUUUUCAGCUCCUUCAAUUCAUUCAUAUUCCUCUCUAAGUUAUCCGUUCUUGUUAUCAUUUCCUCGAAUCUUUUUUCAAAUCUUUUUUCAAGGUUCUUAGUUUCUUUGCAUUGAUUUAGAACAUGUUCUUUUAGCUCACAAAAGUUUCUCAUUAUCCACCUUCUGAAGUCUAAUUCUGUCAUUUCAUCAUAGUCAUUCUCCCUCCAGCUUUGUUCCCUUGCUGGUGAGGAGUUUUGGUCCUUUCUAGGAGGUGAGGUGUUCUGGUUUCGGGUGUUUUCCUCCUUUCUGUGCUGAUUUCUUCCCAUCUUUGUGGAUUUAUCCACCUGUCUUCUGAGUAGUUGCUGACUUUUCGAUUGGGUCUCUGAGUGGACACCCAGAUUGUUGAUGAUGAAGUAUUUCUGUUACUUGGUUUUCCUUCUACCAGUCUAGCCCCUCUACUGUAUGAGUGCUGAGGUCCACUCCAGGCCCUGCUUUUCUGGGGUGCACCUAUAGCAGCUGCAGAACAGUGAGGGAUGCU